This 428-nucleotide ribosomal RNA is filed under the name uncultured bacterium. RNAcentral describes it as "bacterial SSU rRNA". It matches the Rfam family "Bacterial small subunit ribosomal RNA", at positions 354 to 796 of the family's 1533-position model. The record is from RNAcentral.
AUUAGGAAUCUUGCGCAAUGGGCGAAAGCCUGACGCAGCGACGUCGCGUGACCGAUGAAGUCUUUCGGGAUGUAAAGGUCUUUUGCAGGGGAAGAAGGAUGUGACGGUACCCUGCGAAUAAGCCCCGGCUAACUACGUGCCAGCAGCCGCGGUAAUACGUAGGGGGCGAGCGUUGUCCGAAUUUACUGGGCGUAAAGCGCGCGUAGGCGGGCUGCUAAGUUGGGGGUGAAAUCCCGGGGCUCAACCCCGGAACUGCCUCCAAAACUGUCAGCCUUGAGGUAUGGAGAGGGAAGUGGAAUUCCUGGUGUAGCGGUGAAAUGCGUAGAUAUCAGGAGGAACACCUGUGGCGAAGGCGGCUUCCUGGCCAUAUCCUGACGCUGAGGUGCGAAAGCUAGGGGAGCGAACGGGAUUAGAUACCCCAGUAGUCC